UAGCAAAAUUUAUAUAUUCAAAAGCAAGAACAAAGCUUGUAACAUUUACAACAUUUAAAUCACAAAAUAUGAAAGUCACAAAACCCAAAAGGAUUCACCAUAAACUAGGUCUAGGCUCUGAUACCACUUGAAGGAAAAAUUUUGUCCUAGCUAAGAACAAGUAUGAACAUUUGAAUACACAUGCAAGCUAUUAACACUUUAAAGUAGGCAUGCAUCCAAAAACAAUUCAUAAAACCUAUGACUUUCAAAGCCUAGUAUAUGGUGAACCAAUAAACUCUAUAACAACAUUAAAGAGAAGUAAAGAUUUAGAGUUUCUUUACCCUUGAAGCUAUCCUUGUUUACACAAGGGAUUCACCCAAGUGGAGGGCCUUCAAGUCACCUCCAAGCUCCUUGGAUCCUCCUUGUGUUAUCCUCCCUUUAGUGCUCCUUUGAAGAUUUGAGGAAAUGAGGAUUUGUUCUCCAAAACACCAAAAGUUUGAUGUCUCUAAGUCUCUUCACCAAGGAUGUAUCUUGUGAAGAUGAUAUGGAUGACUUAGGGAAGGAGAGAUUGCUAGAUGUCCCUCCCCUUAGUGGCCGGCCUCUUGGAGAAAAAGGAGAAAAUGUUUCACCCAAUUUCAACAAGAAAACCCUUAAUGAAAACAAAGCUAUAAAGUUGAAUUUAUACUUCAUUACAAGUGAGUGGCAAACUUGUAAUUAAUCCAAGCUUGCCCAUUCACCCUAAUGGCCGGCCAUAUUAAUGUUAUUGGGCUAUUUGCCCAUUUUGUUUUAGUUGUCAUACAACUUAAACACAAUGGGCCUUUUGGACCAAAACGCUUUUGGGCCCCGAAACCCAAAACGAACAUAUAAGCCCAAUACGAACCUUUCGUAAAAUUAAUUAACUAAUUAAUUAAUCUUGAC
This 897-nucleotide long non-coding RNA is filed under the name Malus domestica (apple). RNAcentral's name for it is "long non-coding RNA (MDOM_LNC019972)". The record is from RNAcentral. Lineage: Eukaryota; Viridiplantae; Streptophyta; Magnoliopsida; Rosales; Rosaceae.